Molecule: ribosomal RNA, 521 nt
Filed under: uncultured bacterium
Lineage: Bacteria
Description: bacterial SSU rRNA
Rfam family: Archaeal small subunit ribosomal RNA
Source: RNAcentral
AACCUCCGCAAUGUGGGAAAUCGCGACGGGGGGAUCCCAAGUGCCAUUCUUAACGGGAUGGCUUUUCUUAAGUGUAAAAAGCUUUUGGAAUAAGAGCUGGGCAAGACCGGUGCCAGCCGCCGCGGUAACACCGGCAGCUCUAGUGGUAGCUGUUUUUAUUGGGCCUAAAGCGUUCGUAGCCGGUUUGAUAAGUCACUGGUGAAAUCCUGUAGCUUAACUGUGGGAAUUGCUGGUGAUACUGUUGAACUUGAGGUCGGGAGAGGUUAGCGGUACUCCCAGGGUAGAGGUGAAAUUCUGUAAUCCUGGGAGGACCACCUGUGGCGAAGGCGGCUAACUGGAACGAACCUGACGGUGAGGGACGAAAGCUAGGGGCGCGAACCGGAUUAGAUACCCGGGUAGUCCUAGCCGUAAGCGAUGCGGACUUGGUGUUGGGAUGGCUUUGAGCCGCUCCGGUGCCGAAGGGAAGCUGUUAAGUCCGCCGCCUGGGAAGUACGGUCGCAAGACUGAAACUUAAAGGAAUU